UUGGAAGUAAAAGUCGUAACAAGGUUUCCGUAGGUGAACCUGCGGAAGGAUCAUUACCGAGUGAGGGCCCUCUGGGUCCAACCUCCCACCCGGUGUUUAUUUUACCUUGGUUGCUUCGGCGGGCCCGCCUUAACUGGCCGCCGGGGGGCUUACGCCCCCGGGCCCGCGCCCGCCGAAGACACCCUCGAACUCUGUCUGAAGAUUGUAGUCUGAGUGAAAAUAUAAAUUAUUUAAAACUUUCAACAACGGAUCUCUUGGUUCCGGCAUCGAUGAAGAACGCAGCGAAAUGCGAUACGUAAUGUGAAUUGCAAAUUCAGUGAAUCAUCGAGUCUUUGAACGCACAUUGCGCCCCCUGGUAUUCCGGGGGGCAUGCCUGUCCGAGCGUCAUUGCUGCCCUCAAGCACGGCUUGUGUGUUGGGCCCCGUCCUCCGAUCCCGGGGGACGGGCCCGAAAGGCAGCGGCGGCACCGCGUCCGGUCCUCGAGCGUAUGGGGCUUUGUCACCCGCUCUGUAGGCCCGGCCGGCGCUUGCCGAUCAACCCAAAUUUUUAUCCAGGUGACCUCGAUCAG
RNAcentral lists this ribosomal RNA (568 nucleotides) under Penicillium commune. RNAcentral describes it as "eukaryotic LSU rRNA". The stretch from base 235 to 387 matches the Rfam family "5.8S ribosomal RNA". The record is from RNAcentral. Lineage: Eukaryota; Fungi; Ascomycota; Eurotiomycetes; Eurotiales; Aspergillaceae.